Molecule: unclassified non-coding RNA, 279 nt
Filed under: air metagenome
Description: partial contains small subunit ribosomal RNA, internal transcribed spacer 1, and 5.8S ribosomal RNA
Rfam family: Eukaryotic small subunit ribosomal RNA (bases 1-46)
Source: RNAcentral
AAGUCGUAACAAGGUUUCCGUAGGUGAACCUGCGGAAGGAUCAUUAACGAGUUUACUGAGUUGUCGCUGCCCUUUCGGGGGAUGUGCACGCUCUUUCACUCAUCUAUACACCUGUGAACCUAUGCGAGUCAAUGGGGGAUUAGCGAAAGGAGAGCCGAAAGGUGAUUCGAUUAGCGUUCUCUACUGGCUCGAUUUUUUAUAAACUCUUGUAUGUCUUAGAAUGUCUUACUUUGCUUAACGCAAUAAAUACAACUUUCAACAACGGAUCUCUUGGCUCUC